CUGAGCCCCCGCAGCGCUCCCGCCGCAGCCUCGCCGCUGCUUCUUUCCUCCCCCUCGGGGGGCGAAGGGAACACCGACAUUGGGUUUUUUUUUUCCUUUUUUUUUUUUUCUUUUUUUUUUUUUUUUUGCUUUUUUCCCCCCCUCUCCGUGAUCUGGAUAUUCUGCGCGACCGCAAAGAAGAACUUUUUGUUUGUUUUUUUUUUCCUUUUGUUUGUUUGUUUGGGUUUUUUUGUUUUAUUUUGGGUUUUUCUGUUUCGUUUCGUUUUUCCUCCCCUCCUGCCCUCGCCCCGGCUCUGUCCCUCCCGUGUCACUCUCUCCCGGAGCCGGGGCUGGAGCCCGGAACCUCAGCGAGGGGCGAAGCCUCCUUCCUGCUCCCGCCGCGAAUAAGUAAAAUGUAAAUUGGAUAAUAACGACCUCUUGCCAAAGGCUCCAAUGAGUGGCACACAGUCCACAAUCACGGACAGGUUUCCUCUCAAAAAACCUACGAGACAUGGCAGCAUUUUGAGCAGAGAGUCUCCAGCUGACAAGAAGCAGAAGGUCGAGCGCUGCAGCAGCACCCACGACUUCGAUCCCACAGGUACGGUCCUAAAAAAAAACAACUCCAGGUGAAAACCAGCAUUUCCAUCUGA
Molecule: long non-coding RNA, 629 nt
Organism: Lepidothrix coronata (blue-crowned manakin)
Lineage: Eukaryota; Metazoa; Chordata; Aves; Passeriformes; Pipridae
Exons: 3
Source: RefSeq, a predicted model, not a curated record